CGUGACAGUCAGAAGGUGGAGCUAAUUGGUGACUGUUCGCUGGUACGCAGUCUGCAGCAGAGACUAAGUGGGUGAAGUAAUAGAAUGACAGCUUGCGGAGAAGAGUUCUGUAAUGGGGACGGGGUAGAGCUGCACGGAUACCUUCAUGCCCUGGGAGGAAACGAGACAUGGAUGUGAGCUGUCAUGCCGUGAGAUGUCACACAGCGAGGAACAGACACACCGAAGAGAACAUCUUGUUGAUACCUGCUAAGGAAAUAUAAAACCCAACCCUGCAUUCACAAGGACCUGGGACUAACAGCAACCACGUGAACUCCAGGAAGGCAUUCAGCUCAGUCAAUAGCUGGAUUUAGCGGGGCAAGAUGCCGAGAGGAUGAUCGUUUUAUGUUGCAUUUGGAUUCCUGACCCCUGGGAACUGUGAGGCUGGUGUUAGACCUUUUGGGCAGAGCUGCUGGAAACUCUUUCUGAAUGAGGAAACUAUGAAGCCUUUUUUGUUACCUAUAACAUCAGCAUAUCCUGACUGAUCAAUGAAGUCAUUGAAUAGUUUCUGAAUAAUUUCGUGAUUGAAUUUCAAGAAGAGAUUGGAUAAAGAGGGGGCAAGGAGGAUAUACUAAGAAAGGGGAGCUACACAAGAAGCAACAUGGAUCUGGGAAGUUGACAAGAUCCCUAGGAAUGCCAAAGUUUAUAUGAGGAACCUUUGAUGUGGAAGAGACCUGGAAAAGUCAAGAUUAAGCUUUGGUAGAAAGCAUGAGUCAAGGGAAACUGGUAGACUCUCAUUGGACUCCCAGAGUUCUUAAGCCAUUAUGGCUUGUAGAGAACAUUGCUUGAAUUCAGAUAAACACCUUGACAUGCUACAUCUGUGAUACACACCAUCUGUCAAAUGGGCAUAGGGAACCUACUUCAGAACUUAGACCCCAGAUGGUCCUCAGUAACUAGGCUCCUGUCCUCAUUGUCCCAAAAGCUACAAUAUACUCUUCACUAAAACCAGAGUGAAGACAAUUGCCACUUCCAGUGCACUUCCCAAGGGAAUCAUUGCAAGAGAAAUAGUCCCUUCACCCUGAGAGGGCCACAGUACCAUACUGAUGAGAAAAAUACAAGAACAACUAUUGCCUCUACUUCUCAGGUACACAUAAUGGGAGAUAACCAGGAUCUAUACGUAGAGUUCCAGGUAUGUCCUCUUCAAAAUGCAUGGGUGACAUGACCACUCCUUCAUGUCCUUCCUGGGUGGGGAAAUUAAUGAGAUUCAGUACUGAAUGUUUAUGAAACGAAGAGAGGGAAAAGAUAAGAGCAGUAUUUAAUAUCCAAAGAGUCUGAACCUCAGAGUCUAAAAGAGAUUCAUGGAAUAAAUAAUAGAUACUUGAAACUCAUGGAACUAUUGAGGUAGAAGAGGUUGUUACCAAACUGGGGAAGAGUUGGAGAGGUUUUGCGUUGACUUCCUGAGGGUCCUUACUUGGGAAAAAGAUUUUAUUUCUAGUCAAAUAGUAUUGGAUUCUUCAAGGAGCCUGUUACCCUAGGACUAUGGAUGGAACAUGGCCAUCCCUUGAUGAUCUUCGCAAGCAUUACAGGUUGAGAGAUCCUUUAAGAAUUCCCUCUUGAAUACUCUCCAGUUUCAUCCUUUAAGCUCCAAGUUGAUGAAACAUAAAGUAACCAUUAAAACAAAACAGGGGGAGACAAUGUGAUAUUCUUAAAGUAUUUCUAGCUUUAUAAUUAUUUCAUGGAUGAGAGAGCCAUUAUAUGGUACCAUCCAGAAAUGUGAAAAUUAUUUGUUUCAGACAAGCAGACCCGAUCCCGUUAUAGGUUUUGAUUAAAAUGAAAACUUACCGCAUUUCACUCCUCAAAAUAUGAUAGCUUCACGGGCAAUUGAUGUCAGCUAGUUCCACUGCUGCAUCUCUAAUUCCAGAGCUUAUGAUAAUAUUUUUUUUGGAGUCAAACAUGACAUAAUGCUAGAACUCCUGGAGCUGGCAAAGAUGAUAAAGCGUUUUAGCCACAGCAGGUGCUCUGCAAAAUCUUUUAUUAGAAGAGCUGCCAUGCACAUGCUCAGAGUGUGAUGGAUUGCACAGAAAUUAAGAGUGACACACUAUGCAUUUACAGCAUGAAAAUUUCUUCCACUAAUUGAAGCAAUGAGAAUGAUCUCCAAACAGAAUCUGACUGGAGCUGGACAGGAAUGGCUGCUUUCCACAACACUCUAGAGCAUGAAUUUUUGCCCCUGUAAAGAAUGCUUGACCUAAACUAUGAGUUGAUGAUAAAAUGUAACUGACAUGAUUUAAUCAAAAGUCUAACUCUUCAGUUAUACCUUGACUUCCAUUUCCAACGUGAUACAUGGAUAUUUUCCCUUUCUAUUUAAUGUAUAAUGUGUACUGUAACUUCCAGUGACAGAUUUCAGAGUGAAUGACUUCCAAAUAUCACAGGUGUUCAAGGCAUGGCGCCAAUGGUGACGGUUGUGGUGUGUAUGUUGUAUGUGUUAUAUAUGUAUGUUGUGUCUCUGUGGUGUGUGUAUUCAUGUAUGUUGUGUAUAUGGUAGAUGCAUGGUGUGCAUGUGUGUGAUGUUUGUGAAUGUGUUAUGGAAGUCUUUUUGUACACUGCAAAGGUGUGUUGUUUUCAUUGGUUUAAUAAAGAACCGAUAGUCAAUAGUUAUGGAGGAAGAGGAUAGGUGAUAUUUUCAGACCUAAAAUAGAAAGUGUGUGAUGAAGAAGGGUGGGGUUGCCAGGAGACAUGGGGAGAAGCAAGAUGAAAAUGCUUUGUUGAAAACAGGUACCAAGCCACAUGGUAAAUCUUAGAUAAGAAAUAUAAAUUCAUUUAAGUUAAUAACAAGCCUAAGCUAUUGGCUGAAUGUUUAUAACUAAUAAUAAGUCCCCAUGUCAUUUGUUUGGGAGUCAGUGGUCCCAAUGAAAACCUCUGCCUACAUGUAUUUAUGUAUUGUAUGUCUGUGUAUGCAUCGAUUUUGUGUGUGCUGUGAGUUAUAUCCAUUGUAUUUCUAUGUUGUGUGUAUUUGUGUGACUUGUAUAUAUGUACGUGCUUUAUCUGGGGUGUGUAUUUGCAUGUGUGUGUGUGGUGUGUAUAAAUGGAGUAAAUGUAUUUUGUAUGUGUAUAUAUAUGGUGUGAUGUGGGUUUUUGUUACCAGUGAGUAAGAAAUUCUUGAUGAAUGCUCUCUAUUAACAGCUACUUGACUUCUGGGGAAGAUGUUGAAGGGCUUUAUUUGUUUUGUACACUCCUUGCCCAGAAGAACAUGAAAGCACAUAUCUGUUCCUAUUGGCCUACCAGCAUAGACCCAUACUGAUUUUCUAAAGCUUUUUGAGAGAGAAAGGUGGCCACUAUGCACAUGAGAAUGUGGAACACAGCUAAACAAAAGUAAUGUUUCCCACAAAAGCAUAGGAGCUUUAUAACCAAACAAGCCCAUUCCUCCCAGAUAAUUGCUUAUUUCCUAAUUCUUUGUCAGGCUUUCCCACACUGUGACCUGGAUAUCUUCUUUACCCAUUAGCAGUACAGCUCCACCUCCCCAGGAACGAUGCUGAGGAUAUGCAUAGGAAAUGAUAUAUGGUUCCCUGUCCUCUCCUUCCCACAAUACACUUGUCACUUUUAUUUUUGUAAGUCAGCACUUAGUCUAUCUGGUUUUCUCUAGCAGUGUGACAUCAUCACUGACAGCUAAACAAGUACUUACUGAAUCUCUGGCUUUUGAAAAUGCUAGCUUAGACUGCAAAAAGAUACUUGGGCCUUUAAAGGUUAGAUCAGCACCUGUGGAUGAGUGGAUCCU
Non-coding RNA from Myodes glareolus (Bank vole), 3748 nucleotides. The record is from RefSeq and is a predicted model, not a curated record. NCBI's taxonomy places the organism in Eukaryota, Metazoa, Chordata, Mammalia, Rodentia, Cricetidae.